AGCGUACACGGUGGAUGCCCUGGCAGUCAGAGGCGAUGAAGGACGUGCUAAUCUGCGAUAAGCGUCGGUAAGGUGAUAUGAACCGUUAUAACCGGCGAUUUCCGAAUGGGGAAACCCAGUGUGAUUCGUCACACUAUCAUUAACUGAAUCCAUAGGUUAAUGAGGCGAACCGGGGGAACUGAAACAUCUAAGUACCCCGAGGAAAAGAAAUCAACCGAGAUUCCCCCAGUAGCGGCGAGCGAACGGGGAGCAGCCCAGAGCCUGAAUCAGUGUGUGUGUUAGUGGAAGCGUCUGGAAAGGCGUGCGAUACAGGGUGACAGCCCCGUACACAAAAAUGCACAUGCUGUGAGCUCGAUGAGUAGGGCGGGACACGUGGUAUCCUGUCUGAAUAUGGGGGGACCAUCCUCCAAGGCUAAAUACUCCUGACUGACCGAUAGUGAACCAGUACCGUGAGGGAAAGGCGAAAAGAACCCCGGCGAGGGGAGUGAAAAAGAACCUGAAACCGUGUACGUACAAGCAGUGGGAGCACAGAGCAAUCUGUGUGACUGCGUACCUUUUGUAUAAUGGGUCAGCGACUUAUAUUCUGUAGCAAGGUUAACCGAAUAGGGGAGCCGAAGGGAAACCGAGUCUUAACUGGGCGUUAAGUUGCAGGGUAUAGACCCGAAACCCGGUGAUCUAGCCAUGGGCAGGUUGAAGGUUGGGUAACACUAACUGGAGGACCGAACCGACUAAUGUUGAAAAAUUAGCGGAUGACUUGUGGCUGGGGGUGAAAGGCCAAUCAAACCGGGAGAUAGCUGGUUCUCCCCGAAAGCUAUUUAGGUAGCGCCUCGUGAAUUCAUCUCCGGGGGUAGAGCACUGUUUCGGCAAGGGGGUCAUCCCGACUUACCAACCCGAUGCAAACUGCGAAUACCGGAGAAUGUUAUCACGGGAGACACACGGCGGGUGCUAACGUCCGUCGUGAAGAGGGAAACAACCCAGACCGCCAGCUAAGGUCCCAAAGUCAUGGUUAAGUGGGAAACGAUGUGGGAAGGCCCAGACAGCCAGGAUGUUGGCUUAGAAGCAGCCAUCAUUUAAAGAAAGCGUAAUAGCUCACUGGUCGAGUCGGCCUGCGCGGAAGAUGUAACGGGGCUAAACCAUGCACCGAAGCUGCGGCAGCGACGCUUAUGCGUUGUUGGGUAGGGGAGCGUUCUGUAAGCCUGCGAAGGUGUGCUGUGAGGCAUGCUGGAGGUAUCAGAAGUGCGAAUGCUGACAUAAGUAACGAUAAAGCGGGUGAAAAGCCCGCUCGCCGGAAGACCAAGGGUUCCUGUCCAACGUUAAUCGGGGCAGGGUGAGUCGACCCCUAAGGCGAGGCCGAAAGGCGUAGUCGAUGGGAAACAGGUUAAUAUUCCUGUACUUGGUGUUACUGCGAAGGGGGGACGGAGAAGGCUAUGUUGGCCGGGCGACGGUUGUCCCGGUUUAAGCGUGUAGGCUGGUUUUCCAGGCAAAUCCGGAAAAUCAAGGCUGAGGCGUGAUGACGAGGCACUACGGUGCUGAAGCAACAAAUGCCCUGCUUCCAGGAAAAGCCUCUAAGCAUCAGGUAACAUCAAAUCGUACCCCAAACCGACACAGGUGGUCAGGUAGAGAAUACCAAGGCGCUUGAGAGAACUCGGGUGAAGGAACUAGGCAAAAUGGUGCCGUAACUUCGGGAGAAGGCACGCUGAUAUGUAGGUGAAGCGACUUGCUCGUGGAGCUGAAAUCAGUCGAAGAUACCAGCUGGCUGCAACUGUUUAUUAAAAACACAGCACUGUGCAAACACGAAAGUGGACGUAUACGGUGUGACGCCUGCCCGGUGCCGGAAGGUUAAUUGAUGGGGUCAGCGCAAGCGAAGCUCUUGAUCGAAGCCCCGGUAAACGGCGGCCGUAACUAUAACGGUCCUAAGGUAGCGAAAUUCCUUGUCGGGUAAGUUCCGACCUGCACGAAUGGCGUAAUGAUGGCCAGGCUGUCUCCACCCGAGACUCAGUGAAAUUGAACUCGCUGUGAAGAUGCAGUGUACCCGCGGCAAGACGGAAAGACCCCGUGAACCUUUACUAUAGCUUGACACUGAACAUUGAGCCUUGAUGUGUAGGAUAGGUGGGAGGCUUUGAAGUGUGGACGCCAGUCUGCAUGGAGCCGACCUUGAAAUACCACCCUUUAAUGUUUGAUGUUCUAACGUUGACCCGUGAUCCGGGUUGCGGACAGUGUCUGGUGGGUAGUUUGACUGGGGCGGUCUCCUCCUAAAGAGUAACGGAGGAGCACGAAGGUUGGCUAAUCCUGGUCGGACAUCAGGAGGUUAGUGCAAUGGCAUAAGCCAGCUUGACUGCGAGCGUGACGGCGCGAGCAGGUGCGAAAGCAGGUCAUAGUGAUCCGGUGGUUCUGAAUGGAAGGGCCAUCGCUCAACGGAUAAAAGGUACUCCGGGGAUAACAGGCUGAUACCGCCCAAGAGUUCAUAUCGACGGCGGUGUUUGGCACCUCGAUGUCGGCUCAUCACAUCCUGGGGCUGAAGUAGGUCCCAAGGGUAUGGCUGUUCGCCAUUUAAAGUGGUACGCGAGCUGGGUUUAGAACGUCGUGAGACAGUUCGGUCCCUAUCUGCCGUGGGCGCUGGAGAACUGAGGGGGGCUGCUCCUAGUACGAGAGGACCGGAGUGGACGCAUCACUGGUGUUCGGGUUGUCAUGCCAAUGGCACUGCCCGGUAGCUAAAUGCGGAAGAGAUAAGUGCUGAAAGCAUCUAAGCACGAAACUUGCCCCGAGAUGAGUUCUCCCUGACUCCUUGA
RNAcentral lists this ribosomal RNA (2789 nucleotides) under Escherichia coli. Its description in RNAcentral is "bacterial LSU rRNA". It matches the Rfam family "Bacterial large subunit ribosomal RNA". The record is from RNAcentral. Lineage: Bacteria; Pseudomonadati; Pseudomonadota; Gammaproteobacteria; Enterobacterales; Enterobacteriaceae.